GACGAACGCUGGCGGCGUGCUUAACACAUGCAAGUCGAGCGGUAAGGCUCCUUCGGGAGUACACGAGCGGCGAACGGGUGAGUAACACGUGAGUAAUCUGCCCUUCACUUCGGGAUAACCACCGGAAACGGUGGCUAAUACCGAAUACGACCAGUCUUCGCAUGAGGUGCUGGUGGAAAGCCUUUUCGGUGAAGGAUGUGCUCGCGGCCUAUCAGCUUGUUGGUGGGGUAAUGGCCUACCAAGGCUUCGACGGGUAGCCGGCCUGAGGGGGUGACCGGCCACACUGGGACUGAGACACGGCGCAGACUCCUACGGGAGGCAGCAGUGGGGAAGAUUGGACAAUGGGCGAAAGCCUGAUCCAGCAACGCCGCGUGAGGGAUGACGGCCUUCGGGUUGUAAACCUCUUUCAGUACCUACGAAGCGCCCUGUCGGGUGGUGACGGUAGGUACAGAAGAAGGACCGGCCAACUACGUG
RNAcentral lists this ribosomal RNA (474 nucleotides) under uncultured bacterium. RNAcentral's name for it is "partial 16S ribosomal RNA". It matches the Rfam family "Bacterial small subunit ribosomal RNA", at positions 28 to 507 of the family's 1533-position model. The record is from RNAcentral.